RNAcentral lists this ribosomal RNA (459 nucleotides) under uncultured bacterium. Its description in RNAcentral is "partial 16S ribosomal RNA". It matches the Rfam family "Bacterial small subunit ribosomal RNA", at positions 338 to 795 of the family's 1533-position model. The record is from RNAcentral.
CCUACGGGAGGCAGCAGUGAGGAAUAUUGGUCAAUGGGCGCUAGCCUGAACCAGCCAAGUCGCGUGAGGGAAGACGGUCCUAUGGAUUGUAAACCUCUUUUGUCGGGGAGUAAAAGGCGCCAUGCGUAGUGUUUCGAGAGUACCUGAUGAAAAAGCAUCGGCUAACUCCGUGCCAGCAGCCGCGGUAAUACGGAGGAUGCGAGCGUUAUCCGGAUUUAUUGGGUUUAAAGGGUGCGCAGGCGGAAGAUCAAGUCAGCGGGAAAAUUGUGAGGCCCAACCUCAUCGAGCCGUUGAAACUGGUUUUCUUGAGUGAGUGAGAAGUAUGCGGAAUGCGUGGUGUAGCGGUGAAAUGCAUAGAUAUCACGCAGAACUCCGAUUGCGAAGGCAGUAUACCGGCGCGUAACUGACGCUCAUGCACGAAAGUGUGGGUAUCGAACAGGAUUAGAUACCCGAGUAGUC